Molecule: ribosomal RNA, 233 nt
Filed under: uncultured bacterium
Lineage: Bacteria
Description: partial 16S ribosomal RNA
Rfam family: Bacterial small subunit ribosomal RNA
Source: RNAcentral
UCCACGCUGUAAACGAUGAUCACUCGCUAUUGGCGAUAAAAUGUCAGUGGCCAAGCGAAAGCAUUAAGUGAUCCACCUGGGGAGUACGGUCGCAAGAUUGAAACUCAAAGGAAUUGACGGGGGCCCGCACAAGCGGUGGAGCAUGUGGUUUAAUUCGAUGAUACGCGAGGAACCUUACCAGGGCUUAAAUGCAGAACGACAGACCGGGAAACCGGUCCUUCUUCGGACGAUCU